CAGAGAAUGAAAAUAAAUGUUGUGUUUUCUUUUGGUUUUGUGUGUGACCUUUGAUUUUGCUUUAUUGAACUGCCUUUAUCUUGACC
Molecule: long non-coding RNA, 86 nt
Organism: Empidonax traillii (willow flycatcher)
Lineage: Eukaryota; Metazoa; Chordata; Aves; Passeriformes; Tyrannidae
Exons: 3
Source: RefSeq, a predicted model, not a curated record